AGCGAACAGACGAGGAGCUUGCUCCUCUGACGAUUAGCGGCGGACGGGUGAGUGACACGUGGAUAACCUACCUAUAAGACUGGGAUAACUUCGGGAAACCGGAGCUAAUACCGGAUAAUAUAUUGAACCGCAUGGUUCAAUAGUGAAAGACGGUUUUGCUGUCACUUAUAGAUGGAUCCGCGCCGCAUUAGCUAGUUGGUAAGGUAACGGCUUACCAAGGCGACGAUGCGUAGCCGACCUGAGAGGGUGAUCGGCCACACUGGAACUGAGACACGGUCCAGACUCCUACGGGAGGCAGCAGUAGGGAAUCUUCCGCAAUGGGCGAAAGCCUGACGGAGCAACGCCGCGUGAGUGAUGAAGGUCUUCGGAUCGUAAAACUCUGUUAUUAGGGAAGAACAAAUGUGUAAGUAACUAUGCACGUCUUGACGGUACCUAAUCAGAAAGCCACGGCUAACUACGUGCCAGCAGCCGCGGUAAUACGUAGGUGGCAAGCGUUAUCCGGAAUUAUUGGGCGUAAAGCGCGCGUAGGCGGUUUUUUAAGUCUGAUGUGAAAGCCCACGGCUCAACCGUGGAGGGUCAUUGGAAACUGGAAAACUUGAGUGCAGAAGAGGAAAGUGGAAUUCCAUGUGUAGCGGUGAAAUGCGCAGAGAUAUGGAGGAACACCAGUGGCGAAGGCGACUUUCUGG
Molecule: ribosomal RNA, 686 nt
Filed under: uncultured Staphylococcus sp.
Lineage: Bacteria; Bacillati; Bacillota; Bacilli; Caryophanales; Staphylococcaceae
Description: bacterial SSU rRNA
Rfam family: Bacterial small subunit ribosomal RNA
Source: RNAcentral